Molecule: microRNA, 22 nt
Filed under: Xenopus laevis (African clawed frog)
Lineage: Eukaryota; Metazoa; Chordata; Amphibia; Anura; Pipidae
Also listed under: 1 other name
Description: Xla-Mir-2184-P3_3p* (star (passenger))
Source: RNAcentral
GCACAUGGCCUUUUACUGCUCA